UACUGUAGCCAAGUAGGACAACUACAUGAUACUGGGAACAAACUUACACAACUCGGCUUCUCUCCUGUAUUCUUAAAGAAGGUCUGGAGGCAUGGUCUUUCCUGAACCAGAAGUCAUUUAGCUACUUGGACUGCCCAGUGAGCUUCAAGGAUCUGCUUACCUCUGUUGUCUGCCAAACCUGAGGUUAUAGCCAUGCUACCUCACCUGUCUUCUGAGGAUCCGAUCUCAGAUCUUUGUGUGUGUGUGCAGCAGGCUCUGUAUCAAGUGAGCCAUAUCCCUAGCCCAAUAGGCAUAAAUAAUAAAAUAAAAUAAAUAACAACC
Molecule: long non-coding RNA, 321 nt
Organism: Mastomys coucha (southern multimammate mouse)
Lineage: Eukaryota; Metazoa; Chordata; Mammalia; Rodentia; Muridae
Exons: 2
Source: RefSeq, a predicted model, not a curated record